Molecule: ribosomal RNA, 253 nt
Filed under: uncultured bacterium
Lineage: Bacteria
Description: partial 16S ribosomal RNA
Rfam family: Bacterial small subunit ribosomal RNA
Source: RNAcentral
UACGAAGGGGGCAAGCGUUGCUCGGAAUCAUUGGGCGUAAAGCGCGCGCGGGUGGUCUUGUAAGUCAGGAGUGAAAGCCCUGGGCUCAACCCAGGAAGUGCUUUUGAUACUGCGAGACUUGAAUGUGGGAGAGGAAGCUAGAAUACCUAGUGUAGUGGUGAAAUACGUAGAUAUUAGGUGGAACACCGGUGGGGAAGCCGGGUUUCUGGCCCAACAUUGACAUUUAGGCGCGAAAGCGUGGGGAGCAAACAGG